UACGUAGGGUGCGAGCGUUGUCCGGAAUUAUUGGGCGUAAAGGGCUCGUAGGCGGUUUGUCGCGUCUGCUGUGAAAACCUAGGGCUUAACCCUGGGCCUGCAGUGGGUACGGGCAGACUAGAGUGCGGUAGGGGAGACUGGAAUUCCUGGUGUAGCGGUGAAAUGCGCAGAUAUCUGGAGGAACACCGGUGGCGAAGGCGGCUACCUGGCCCAACAUUGACACUGAGACCCGAAAGCGUGGGAUCAAACAGG
This 252-nucleotide ribosomal RNA is filed under the name uncultured bacterium. Its description in RNAcentral is "partial 16S ribosomal RNA". It matches the Rfam family "Bacterial small subunit ribosomal RNA", at positions 524 to 776 of the family's 1533-position model. The record is from RNAcentral.